CUAAUUCCACUGCCCCCAUGGAUCUGCCUCUCUCUCGGUAGCGGCAGUGCAGGAUCCUCCCGCUAGGGUGGCGCCUUUUGCCACCAAGCUUUCUCCGCCCGCAUCUGACCUCGUGAAUCCCACUCCUAAAUGUGAAUGGGAACGCGGAGUAUGGAAAGCAGGGGCGGAGCGCGGAUCAACUUGUCGGGGUCAUCUCAGGCACGGUGAGCGUUUCCGACCCAAACCCUAUCACUGAUCUCGAAAGGAAGUUCCAGCGAGCUGAGAGAUUUGGCGUGUAGGUGCUGCUUUCCAAAGAGGAGAAGUAAACCCUCGGGCGCCUCUCUUCCACCUCCUCGCAUUCUCGAUUCCGAUCAGCGUUCUCUGCUCUUCCAUCGAUAUGCCAAGAAGAUACAAUGGAGCCACCAUCGUUGGAGGCAAUACUAUAUAGUGUCACUGAGUUGGGCCUUGUAUCUUCCAGCAGCAAUGUAAAGCUUGAAAUACUUCUGAGAUACUGUCAAAUCGAUCACAUCCUUAAGAAUUUUAAACUAAUAUGUGAUGAAAUUGUUGCUUCCGUUAUAUCU
Long non-coding RNA from Zingiber officinale, 560 nucleotides. RefSeq lists it as uncharacterized. Lineage: Eukaryota; Viridiplantae; Streptophyta; Magnoliopsida; Zingiberales; Zingiberaceae. The transcript is spliced from 3 exons. The record is from RefSeq and is a predicted model, not a curated record.